UUGUAGAAAUCAAGUCACGGGGGAAACCGAUUGAGUCUACUACACGCCACCCUGGCCAUCGAUAUCUCCACCGUACGUAAAAACUCAAGAAGAAUAACCUACACGCGUUUUUCUUUCAUUUUCUUACCGUACGGAAUUAAUCGAUCGCCGACUCCAAGCUAAUUCAGGACUAUAUAUAUAUAGAUGGAUGCUGGUGGCGGGAUGGAAGCUCAUCAGAUUAUAGGUGAUGGUAACGUGGAAGGUGAAAACGACAAUAUAGAAGUUUAUAACAUGGAGGGUGAAAAUAAUUAUGAUAUGGGUGCUGAAGGCGACAAUGAUGUCGGUAUGCAGGAAAGCGAUGCAGAAUCUAAUGUCACGGAGGAAAGUAAUCCACCAGCUGAUGUCGACUUUCAUGGUCUAGCUGACUUAUGGAAUGAAAUGACCGCUGGAUUAGAGGCGUCAAUGGAUAUGGGUCAACCAUCAUCUAAUGAACAUGUGAUCAAAGACGUAGAAGAAUGUGAUCAUACUUUUAUCUUUAAAGACGAUAUUGGCUAUUUCUGUCGUGUUUGUGGAAUAAUUAAAAGGAGUAUCGAAUCUAUAAUCGAGUUCAAGAUUCCCAAGGUUUCUUCAAAUGCACGAGUUAUUUAGUAUGAAGUUGAAAAGAAUCCCAAAGUGAUUUUUUUCUUGUUUCUAUAGUUACAAGGAUCGCCGAUUGAUCUAAGUGGCCAACAUCUAUAAAAGAUCAUCACGAUGAGGAAAUGAUGGGAGGAAAUGAUGGACGUGUGUAGUUUUCUCAUUUUGCAGCUGAAUGUCGUUAAUGAUCAGUAUAACUUAUUGAAGCAUGUUACACAUUGAAUGAAACAAAGUAUGCACUUACUUAUCAAUAGACUUUCUGAUGCUGGUAGUUGAAAAAUUGUUGACUGACAUCAUAUCUUAAUGGAAUGAACCAUUACUAGUUC
Erigeron canadensis is the source of this 938-nucleotide RNA transcript. It is a transcript of the gene named protein CHROMATIN REMODELING 35-like, with no coding region annotated. The transcript has 6 exons. The record is from RefSeq and is a predicted model, not a curated record. Lineage: Eukaryota; Viridiplantae; Streptophyta; Magnoliopsida; Asterales; Asteraceae.